Molecule: ribosomal RNA, 493 nt
Filed under: uncultured bacterium
Lineage: Bacteria
Description: partial 16S ribosomal RNA
Rfam family: Bacterial small subunit ribosomal RNA
Source: RNAcentral
GACGAACGCUGGCGGCGUGCUUAACACAUGCAAGUCGAACGGAAAGGCCUGCUUUCCCUUGUGGAUUGCGGGUACUCGAGUGGCGAACGGGUGAGUAACACGUGAGUGAUCUGCCCCCAACUUGGGUAUAAGCCUGGGAAACUGGGUCUAAUUCCCGAUAGGACUGCAGGGUGGUGCCUGUGGUGGAAAACGAUUUUCUAGUGGUUGGGGAUGAGCUCGCGGCCUAUCAGCUUGUUGGUGGGGAAAUGGCCUACCAAGGCGGCGACGGGUAGCGGGCUGAGAGGGUGGACGGCCACAUUGGGACUGAGAUACGGCCCAGACUCCUACGGGAGGCAGCAGUGGGGAAUAUUGCACAAUGGGCGGAAGCCUGAUGCAGCGACGCCGCGUGGGGGAUGACGGCCUUCGGGUUGUAAACUCCUUUCGACCGCGAGGAAGCCACCUGGUUGGAAGGGUGGUGACGGUAGUGGUAGAAGAAGCACCGGCUAACUACGUG